This 463-nucleotide ribosomal RNA is filed under the name uncultured bacterium. RNAcentral describes it as "partial 16S ribosomal RNA". It matches the Rfam family "Bacterial small subunit ribosomal RNA", at positions 28 to 507 of the family's 1533-position model. The record is from RNAcentral.
GAUGAACGCUGACAGAAUGCUUAACACAUGCAAGUCUUUGGUGAAGCUGUGCUUGCACAGCCUAGCCAAGGCGGACGGGUGAGUAACGCGUAAGGAACUUGCCCUGCAGUCAGGGAUAACAGACGGAAACGACUGAUAAGACCUGGUAAAGUCAGGCGGACUCAUGUCCAGCCUGAUGAAAAGAGAUGCUGCAGGAGAGCCUUGCGUCCUAUUAGCUUGUUGGUGGGGUAACGGCCCACCAAGGCAAUGAUAGGUAGCCGGCCUGAGAGGGUGGACGGCCACAAGGGGACUGAGAUACGGCCCUUACUACUACGGGAGGCAGCAGUGGGGAAUAUUGGACAAUGGGGGCAACCCUGAUCCAGCAAUUCUGUGUGCAAGAUGAAGGUCUUCGGAUUGUAAAGUGCUUUCAGCAGGGAAGAAAAAAAUGACGGUACCUGCAGAAGAAGCGACGGCUAAAUACGUG